Long non-coding RNA from Cavia porcellus (domestic guinea pig), 650 nucleotides. RefSeq lists it as uncharacterized. NCBI's taxonomy places the organism in Eukaryota, Metazoa, Chordata, Mammalia, Rodentia, Caviidae. The record is from RefSeq and is a predicted model, not a curated record. The transcript has 2 exons.
UACCAUGCCUUUAGGUAAGGACCUUCUGGGACUGUAAAAUGACACUCAAACCAAAGCACAGGCAAACAGUGAUUACAGAAUAGGAUGCUAUUUUUAUAAACCCUGGCUAAGCCAAGCCAGCUGAACUGAAAACAUUGGCAAGUGAGGAAGGAAAGGCAGAAUUGUGAAAAUAUUUUCACUUCACUGCUGCUUAUGAUGAUACGUAUAUUUAUAAAAUUGUCAGCCUCCUUCUCCUGUCUUCCCACCAAACCUGGCAUGGAUUGGAGACUCUGUAAAUACUGAAUGAGUGGUUGAUGAAUGAAUGGAUCUCCAUGGAAAUGAAGCUGACAAUGACCAAGAACCCCAUCCUUCUGCCUCCAGCCUCUGGCCUCUCUGAUCCUAGUUAGAAUGUGUCUGUGAAGAUAAGGAUACUGGGAAGGAUCUCAGUAAUGUUUUUCUCAGGUACAUUCUACCUGCAUUAAUGUUUUGAGCCACCACGAAAAAGUUAUCCUAUUCAUGUUAAAAUUGCAAACGCUUAUACCAGGAUGACAGUUAAAUGACAACAAAAUUUAGACCCUAUCAUUUAACCCUUCAGGGUACUCCGCUAACUAAACUGAAAGUACUCAAACCUGGCAAUCAAAUUGGGGACAAAAUAAAGGUUUUUAAUAAAA